AUUCUCAUUACAUUGACAGAUAUGGUGCUUUUGCUAGCGUGUAACGUUCGUCUGCCGACGUGUCAUGUUUACAAAAGGUAUGCCGCUGCAUCUGGCAAACUGUCAGUGAAUGGGUGUGACAAGGAAAUCUGUGAGGUAAUUUAGUUCCUUACGGACAUCAGCGCACCUGGACAAACAAAGCACUUGCCUCUUGUGAUAACCUCCAAGCUGAUUCAGUCAGUUAGUUAUACAUUGCUAGAGAGACGAAAGCUGUCUGCCACACUUUGACAAACAGGUUUACACAUUCAGUACACCCAGUAUGCCCAAGCUAUUGCUCAGAGGUUAGUUCUGUUGCUGGAUCUGGGAGUUUUUAUCCUUUAUGAUGGACCACAUGAGGAGAAUAGGGAUGCAGUGGAGGCAUAAUUGCUGAAAUACGUCCGACUGGACUUGGCGUGGUUUUGCUUCAGUAAGAGUUGGUGCAUUCACUAGGAUGAUGGAAGGUUGCAUUCUCCCCAGAUAAGUUUUGUGGUCACUGUAACCAUGUGGACAUUGGAGCGAUCAUGCGCUUCAGUCAUGCAGACAUCAUGGCUGCUGCUGCUACUACUGGCUGCCUUUCUCAGGCCAGUCCACUGCAUGUCUCGGGAGGAGAGACAUAAGCUAAGGGAUCAGGUGGUUGAAAUGUUUGACCACGCUUAUAGUAAUUACAUGAACCAUGCUACCC
This is a long non-coding RNA of Clupea harengus (Atlantic herring), 700 nucleotides long. RefSeq lists it as uncharacterized. The record is from RefSeq and is a predicted model, not a curated record. Lineage: Eukaryota; Metazoa; Chordata; Actinopteri; Clupeiformes; Clupeidae. The transcript is spliced from 3 exons.